RNAcentral lists this ribosomal RNA (492 nucleotides) under uncultured bacterium. RNAcentral's name for it is "partial 16S ribosomal RNA". It matches the Rfam family "Bacterial small subunit ribosomal RNA", at positions 29 to 507 of the family's 1533-position model. The record is from RNAcentral.
AGUGAACGCUGGCGGUAGGCCUAACACAUGCAAGUCGAACGGCAGCACAGUAAGAGCUUGCUCUUACGGGUGGCGAGUGGCGGACGGGUGAGGAAUACAUCGGAAUCUACUUUUUCGUGGGGGAUAACGUAGGGAAACUUACGCUAAUACCGCAUACGACCUACGGGUGAAAGCAGGGGAUCUUCGGACCUUGCGCGAUUGAAUGAGCCGAUGUCGGAUUAGCUAGUUGGCGGGGUAAAGGCCCACCAAGGCGACGAUCCGUAGCUGGUCUGAGCGGAUGAUCAGCCACACUGGAACUGAGACACGGUCCAGACUCCUACGGGAGGCAGCAGUGGGGAAUAUUGGACAAAGGGCGCAAGCCUGAUCCAGCCAUACCGCGUGGGUGAAGAAGGCCUUCGAGUUGUAAAGCCCUUUUGUUGGGAAAGAAAAGCAGCAGGUUAAUACCCCGCUGUUCUGACGGUACCCAAAGAAUAAGCACCGGCUAACUUCGUG